Molecule: ribosomal RNA, 531 nt
Filed under: uncultured beta proteobacterium
Lineage: Bacteria; Pseudomonadati; Pseudomonadota; Betaproteobacteria
Description: bacterial SSU rRNA
Rfam family: Bacterial small subunit ribosomal RNA
Source: RNAcentral
CCUGAUCCAGCCAUGCCGCGUGUGUGAAGAAGGCCUUCGGGUUGUAAAGCACUUUCGGCCGGAACGAAAUCGCGCGAUCUAAUACCUCGCGUGGAUGACGGUACCGGAAGAAGAAGCACCGGCUAACUACGUGCCAGCAGCCGCGGUAAUACGUAGGGUGCGAGCGUUAAUCGGAAUUACUGGGCGUAAAGUGUGCGCAGGUGGCCGCGCAAGUCGAGUGUGAAAUCCCCGAGCUUAACUUGGGAAUUGCGCUCGAAACUACUUGGCUCGAGUGUGGCAGAGGAAGGUGGAAUUCCACGUGUAGCGGUGAAAUGCGUAGAGAUGUGGAGGAACACCGAUGGCGAAGGCAGCCUUCUGGGCCAACACUGACGCUCAUGCACGAAAGCGUGGGGAGCAAACAGGAUUAGAUACCCUGGUAGUCCACGCCCUAAACGAUGAUGACUAGUUGUUGGGGGAGUUAAAUCCCUUAGUAACGCAGCUAACGCGUGAAGUCAUCCGCCUGGGGAGUACGGUCGCAAGAUUAAAACUCAA